CAUAGCCUUUAGAACAUUGAAGCAGACACAAGAGCCGAAUCAAUCCCCCUGCUGCCUCUAAUCAGUGAUUAGGGACUCAUUCAAGCAUUUAUAACAGCUCUUUGCUCUCCAGUCGGAGGAAAUAACAGCAUCAUGAGACUCUUCCCAGUGAGUCCUCUGCAUGAAGGAACUAUCUGCAGAACUGGUGAUAGUGUUUACAUCACUCUGAUAAUAGUCCAAACGAAACAAGAUACCUUGCAUAUGUUGCAAUUUUGUCUUGCCCAAAAGAUGCAUGUGGCUAAACCAGGACCCUGUUGGAUGAAAGAAAUUCCAGAGACAAUGGUCCUCCAGAGGAUGAGUAAGUGUUUCUCCUGCAGUGGAUGGAGAGCCCUGGAUUAAUCAUUUGAAGGCCUUUCAUGGCAUUACCUUUACAAGAAUUUGCACUGCUCCCAACUAUACCUGGCACCUCAUCUGACACACUGAUGAUGUAAGAAGGAUUUAGUCAAACAAAUGACACCAUCUGUCUCCUUGGAACCACUGAAGAAGUGUUUAGAUCUACACAGGGUUUGAAUAUAUGACUCCGACCACUAAUUCAUUGGCCUGUUCCAUGAUAAAUCUUCAAUGUUCAUAGACUGAGCAAGGAGGUAAGGGAGAAGGAAGGAGUGAAGAGGCUGCUUUUUGAGGCAUUAAGACAUCCCAUGUAUUCAGGAUGGAGGUGCCCUGACUUUUUCUUUAAAGAAGUUGGGCUGAUCAAUAAACCACAGUCUUCACAAAAGCCCUCUGAGAAACUUUGACAGUGCUCUCCACAUGCCUUUACUCUGUGAUUUUCUUAUAAACAGCUCUCAAGCUACUUGGAUAUUAGGACAUCUGAGUGUGUUGGACAGUCUUGAUCCUCCAGCCUUUUCCAUAAAGUAUCUCCAUUCUGUUGGGGUGUUGGGUGGCCACCUUCCAUAGGCCACAUCAACUAUGUCUCUGUCCUCUGGCUUUGGUUGGCCUUAGUUAUUGGGAGGCCCUGGUAGAUUAGUGAGUUGAGAGGAAAGAAGUUAGGGAUUUUAUUUCAUGGCAGACCUUGAGCUGUCAGCAGCUUUUUUCUUCAACAAGAAAAUCCUCCUAUAGGGCUGCUCUACCCAAUAGCUGCUUUCUUGCCUUCACCUUCAGGUCUAGUGGUAAUAUUCGCUUUACCAUCUCUUUUACCUACUUUAACCCUGACCUCACACUUGAUUAAAUUAUUUCUCUUUACCCUUUUUGAGUGUGACAUUCCUUUCCUGAUAUACUGAGGCCAUUCUUUCCGUAGAAAAUUUCUGUUUGCCAAAUUCCUCCUUGGGUUGGUCAUGGGAGCCUCUGAGUACUUAGAACUCAGUCCAGUGUCAAACUGCUAAAGAUCACAUUUUUAAGAGGAUAAUUGGCUAAAAUAUUUUCUACAAAAUUAUUAUGUACAGCUAAGCUCACAGCUCAUGGAUAUAGCACUGCCACUGUUCACAUUGUUCAAAUAUCAAGAGAAUGCUAAUCCCAAAUUAUCGUUCCUAGUUCAAAGGCAAGCUUAAGGGAUUUUUUUUCUUUUUCUUUUCUUUUUUCUUUCUUUUUU
Long non-coding RNA from Myotis brandtii (Brandt's bat), 1564 nucleotides. RefSeq lists it as uncharacterized. The record is from RefSeq and is a predicted model, not a curated record. Lineage: Eukaryota; Metazoa; Chordata; Mammalia; Chiroptera; Vespertilionidae. The transcript has 3 exons.